UGGGGAAUCUUAGACAAUGGGCGAAAGCCUGAUCUAGCGAUGCCGCGUGAGUGACGAAGGCCCUAGGGUCGUAAAGCUCUUUCGCCAGGGAUGAUAAUGACAGUACCUGGUAAAGAAACCCCGGCUAACUCCGUGCCAGCAGCCGCGGUAAUACGGAGGGGGUUAGCGUUGUUCGGAAUUACUGGGCGUAAAGCGUACGUAGGCGGACUAUUAAGUCAGAGGUGAAAUCCCGGGGCUCAACCCCGGAACUGCCUUUGAUACUGGUAGUCUUGAGUUCGAGAGAGGUGAGUGGAAUUCCAAGUGUAGAGGUGAAAUUCGUAGAUAUUUGGAGGAACACCAGUGGCGAAGGCGGCUCACUGGCUCGAUACUGACGCUGAGGUACGAAAGUGUGGGGAGCAAACA
Molecule: ribosomal RNA, 402 nt
Filed under: uncultured Alphaproteobacteria bacterium
Lineage: Bacteria; Pseudomonadati; Pseudomonadota; Alphaproteobacteria
Description: bacterial SSU rRNA
Rfam family: Bacterial small subunit ribosomal RNA
Source: RNAcentral